This 560-nucleotide ribosomal RNA is filed under the name uncultured Pichia. RNAcentral describes it as "LSU rRNA". It matches the Rfam family "Eukaryotic large subunit ribosomal RNA", at positions 62 to 648 of the family's 3401-position model. The record is from RNAcentral. Lineage: Eukaryota; Fungi; Ascomycota; Saccharomycetes; Saccharomycetales; Saccharomycetaceae.
AAACCAACAGGGAUUGCCUCAGUAGCGGCGAGUGAAGCGGCAAAAGCUCAGAUUUGAAAUCGUGUUUCGGCACGAGUUGUAGAUUGCAGGUUGGAGUCUUUGUGGAAGCGUGUGUCUAAGUCCCUUGGAACAGGGUGCCAUUGAGGGUGAGAGCCCCGUGAGACGCGUGCGGAAGCUGUAAGGCCCUUCUGACGAGUCGAGUUGUUUGGGAAUGCAGCUCUAAGUGGGUGGUAAAUUCCAUCUAAGGCUAAAUAUUGGCGAGAGACCGAUAGCGAACAAGUACUGUGAAGGAAAGAUGAAAAGCACUUUGAAAAGAGAGUGAAACAGCACGUGAAAUUGUUGAAAGGGAAGGGUAUUGGGCUCGACAUGGGAUUUGCGCACCGCUGCUCCUUGUGGGCGGCGCUCUGUGCUUUUUCCUGGGCCAGCAUCGGUUUUUGCCGCAGGAGAAGGCGUGCUGGAAUGUGGCUCUUCGGAGUGUUAUAGCCAGUGCGAGAUGCUGCGUGCGGGGACCGAGGACUGCGACAUCUGUCUCGGAUGCUGGCACAACGGCGCAAUACCGC